RNAcentral lists this ribosomal RNA (289 nucleotides) under uncultured Rubrivirga sp. Its description in RNAcentral is "partial 16S ribosomal RNA". The record is from RNAcentral. Lineage: Bacteria; Pseudomonadati; Rhodothermota; Rhodothermia; Rhodothermales; Rubricoccaceae.
CUACCAGGGUAUCUAAUCCUGUUCGCUCCCCACGCUUUCGUGCCUGAGCGUCAGUACCCGUCCAGCUAUCCGUCUACACAUCUGGUGUUCCUCGUGAUAUUUACGCAUUUCACCGCUACACCACGAAUUCCGAUAGCCUCUCCGGGACUCAAGACCUGCAGUAUCAAGGGCAAUUCACCGGUUAGGCCGGUGGCUUUCACCCCUGACUUACAGGCCCGCCUGCGCACCCUUUACACCCAGUGAUUCCGGACAACGCUUGGACCCUCCGUAUUACCGCGGCUGCUGGCAC